UGGAAUCGUCCGGUUGGAAUAUUAUUGAAGUUUUAUGUUUAAAAAGGCCCUAAAGAUUGAUGCUAUACUACGUUUGACAUGUUUCUACGAACAUAAAUAUAACUUUUUUUGACUUUUCGUCGUGAAAUUUUCCUACAUUUGAAGUACUGAAUGCGCUACCCAAAAAGGAGGUAUUUGGACAUAAAUUAUGGACUUUACCGAACAAAACAACAUUUAUUGUGGACCUGGGAUUCCUGAGAGUGCAUUCUGAUGAAGAUCAUCAAAGACAGGUGUGCUGGAGUCAGAGCAGAUCCCUACCAGCUGCAAAUCAAACCUCUACAUAUACUCAUUCCUGCCAGAUCGUAAUCUCUGCUCAUUACCGCUCUCUCUGGCUCCUGUCUCCUGUACCACAUCUCACCC
Molecule: long non-coding RNA, 399 nt
Filed under: Salmo salar (Atlantic salmon)
Lineage: Eukaryota; Metazoa; Chordata; Actinopteri; Salmoniformes; Salmonidae
Description: lncRNA (ENSSSAG00000121724.1)
Source: RNAcentral